Molecule: ribosomal RNA, 484 nt
Filed under: uncultured bacterium
Lineage: Bacteria
Description: partial 16S ribosomal RNA
Rfam family: Bacterial small subunit ribosomal RNA
Source: RNAcentral
AUUGAACGCUGGCGGCAGGCCUAACACAUGCAAGUCGAGCGGAUGAAGGGAGCUUGCUCCUGGAUUCAGCGGCGGACGGGUGAGUAAUGCCUAGGAAUCUGCCUGGUCGUGGUUGAUAACGUCCGGAAACGGGCGCUAAUACCGCAUACGUCCUGAGGGAGAAAGUGGGGGAUCUUCGGACCUCACGCUAUCUGAUGAGCAUAGGUCGGAUUAGCUAGUUGGUGGGGUAAAGGCCUACCAAGGCGACGAUCCGUAACUGGUCUGAGAGGAUGAUCAGUCACACUGGAACUGAGCCACGGUCAAGCAUCCUACGGGAGGAAGCAGUGGGGAAUAUUGGAAAAUGGGCGAAAGCCUGCUGAAGCAAUGCGGCGUGUGUGAAGAAGGUCUCCGGAUUGUAAAGCCCUUUAAGUUGGGCGGAAGGGCAGUAAGUUAAUAACUUGCUGUUUUGACGUUACCAAAAGAAUAAGCCCCGGCUAACUUCGUG